AGUGAACGCUGGCGGUAGGCCUAACACAUGCAAGUCGAACGGCAGCACAGUAAGAGCUUGCUCUUACGGGUGGCGAGUGGCGGACGGGUGAGGAAUACAUCGGAAUCUACUUUUUCGUGGGGGAUAACGUAGGGAAACUUACGCUAAUACCGCAUACGACCUACGGGUGAAAGCAGGGGAUCUUCGGACCUUGCGCGAUUGAAUGAGCCGAUGUCGGAUUAGCUAGUUGGCGGGGUAAAGGCCCACCAAGGCGACGAUCCGUAGCUGGUCGGAGAGGAUGAUCGGCCACACUGGAACUGAGACACGGUCCAGACUCCUACGGGAGGCAGCAGUGGGGAAUAUUGGACAAUGGGCGCAAGCCUGAUCCAGCCAUACCGCGUGGGUGAAGAAGGCCUUCGGGUUGUAAAGCCCUUUUGUUGGGAAAGAAAAGCAGCAGGUUAAUACCCCGCUGUUCUGACGGUACCCAAAGAAUAAGCACCGGCUAACUUCGUG
RNAcentral lists this ribosomal RNA (492 nucleotides) under uncultured bacterium. RNAcentral describes it as "partial 16S ribosomal RNA". It matches the Rfam family "Bacterial small subunit ribosomal RNA", at positions 29 to 507 of the family's 1533-position model. The record is from RNAcentral.